This 253-nucleotide ribosomal RNA is filed under the name uncultured bacterium. RNAcentral's name for it is "partial 16S ribosomal RNA". It matches the Rfam family "Bacterial small subunit ribosomal RNA", at positions 524 to 776 of the family's 1533-position model. The record is from RNAcentral.
UACGUAGGGUGCGAGCGUUGUCCGGAAUUAUUGGGCGUAAAGAGCUUGUAGGCGGUCUGUCGCGUCUGCUGUGAAAAUCCGGGGCUCAACCCCGGACUUGCGGUGGGUACGGGCAGACUAGAGUGUGGUAGGGGAGACUGGAAUUCCUGGUGUAGCGGUGAAAUGCGCAGAUAUCAGGAGGAACACCGGUGGCGAAGGCGGGUCUCUGGGCCGAUACUGACGCUGAGGAGCGGAAGCGUGGGGAGCGAACAGG